Molecule: long non-coding RNA, 339 nt
Organism: Mus musculus (house mouse)
Lineage: Eukaryota; Metazoa; Chordata; Mammalia; Rodentia; Muridae
Product: RIKEN cDNA 4930538L07 gene
Exons: 2
Source: RefSeq, marked validated
AGACAAGGGUAGGUAGCCAAACAACCCAGAGAAGAGAUUGGCAUUAGAGUUAGCAGAGGAUGAAGAAAGAGACCCAGGGCUUGGGCAGUGGGGCCUUAGAGCUCAGCCUGCUUCUGAGAAGCUUUUCCAUGUAGAAACUGGGGUUUAAAUCUCAGACAUGCUGGGAUUUCACCCCAUUUACUUCCUGCUGUUCUAGUGAAUUGGGUACUGUGGGUCACUUGCUCUGAUCAAAGACCUUUUCCAUCUUUCUCUGAACAUUGAAGACCUGUUCCAACCAAGCCUAAGGAGACUAAAGUCAUGGACUCUUCCUUCCUCAAAUAAAGCCACUUCUUUCAUACA